Molecule: unclassified non-coding RNA, 305 nt
Filed under: fungal sp.
Lineage: Eukaryota; Fungi
Description: partial internal transcribed spacer region
Rfam family: Eukaryotic small subunit ribosomal RNA (bases 1-46)
Source: RNAcentral
AAGUCGUAACAAGGUUUCCGUAGGUGAACCUGCGGAAGGAUCAUUAACACUUUGUUCUUUUUUUUGUUGUUUCGGCUUUUAACCAAAGCUGAACCGCAAAAAAAACAAACAUCCAAUUACCCAACUGAUUUUGAAGCAGUGCUUGUAGGAUAAAACGUUUUUUACAAAAAACGUUUGUCCUCAAUUUCUCACCUAAUUUUUUUCACAACAAAACCCCAAACAACCAUUUAAACUAUUUUUUGAAACUCAAAAAAUAACUACUAACGUUAACCAAACAACUCUUAGCAACGGAUAUCUUGGCUCUC